GACGAACGCUGGCGGCGUGCUUAACACAUGCAAGUCGAACGGAAAGGCCCUGCUUGCAGGGUACUCGAGUGGCGAACGGGUGAGUAACACGUGGGUGAUCUGCCCUGCACUUCGGGAUAAGCUUGGGAAACUGGGUCUAAUACCGGAUAGGAGCCAUCUUUAGUGUGGUGGUUGGAAAGUUUUUUCGGUGUAGGAUGAGCUCGCGGCCUAUCAGCUUGUUGGUGGGGUAAUGGCCUACCAAGGCGGCGACGGGUAGCCGGCCUGAGAGGGUGUACGGCCACAUUGGGACCGAGAUACGGCCCAGACUCCUACGGGAGGCAGCAGUGGGGAAUAUUGCACAAUGGGCGCAAGCCUGAUGCAGCGACGCCGCGUGGGGGAUGAAGGCCUUCGGGUUGUAAACUCCUUUCGCUAGGGACGAAGCUUUUUUGUGACGGUACCUAGAUAAGAAGCACCGGCUAAUUACGUG
This 466-nucleotide ribosomal RNA is filed under the name uncultured bacterium. RNAcentral's name for it is "partial 16S ribosomal RNA". It matches the Rfam family "Bacterial small subunit ribosomal RNA", at positions 28 to 507 of the family's 1533-position model. The record is from RNAcentral.